CGGAGUGUAGCGCAGUCUGGUAGCGCACCUUGUUCGGAACGAGGGGGUCGUAGGUUCGAAUCCUAUCACUCCGACCA
Molecule: transfer RNA, 77 nt
Filed under: Hyphomicrobiales bacterium
Lineage: Bacteria; Pseudomonadati; Pseudomonadota; Alphaproteobacteria; Hyphomicrobiales
Description: tRNA-Pro
Rfam family: tRNA
About the family: Transfer RNA (tRNA) molecules are approximately 80 nucleotides in length. Their secondary structure includes four short double-helical elements and three loops (D, anti-codon, and T loops).
Source: RNAcentral